Long non-coding RNA from Clupea harengus (Atlantic herring), 318 nucleotides. RefSeq lists it as uncharacterized. The record is from RefSeq and is a predicted model, not a curated record. NCBI's taxonomy places the organism in Eukaryota, Metazoa, Chordata, Actinopteri, Clupeiformes, Clupeidae. The transcript has 3 exons.
GUGUGUUACCGGGCCCUCCAACAGCUGCUGAAGUCUUCCUACUGCCUCCAGUAGAGACAAAUUCAUCACACACACACACACACACCUCCCAGCUGAGCAGCAUCGAUCAGGAGCUGGAGAAAAUGAGUAAGGUGCUUGUGCAUGCACUUAACCAGAACUGGGUGGAGUUUCUGCUUAGGCCAGAGGUGAGGAUAACAGCCCGACUCACACACCUCGGCCUAGCUUCUCAGGUGGGGUCUGACCAUCUGCCUGGCAUCUCUGUUCUGCUGUUGUUCCUUUCUAUGGCUGCGGUUGGAGUGGUGACCUUCUUCAUGUAUA